RNAcentral lists this long non-coding RNA (1019 nucleotides) under Anas platyrhynchos platyrhynchos (common mallard). RNAcentral's name for it is "lncRNA (ENSAPLG00000018748.1)". The record is from RNAcentral. Lineage: Eukaryota; Metazoa; Chordata; Aves; Anseriformes; Anatidae.
AGAUGAACAAUGUAUUUAUUGCAUUUGGUGGCAAAUGCUUCGGCAUAGGUUUGUGGGCAGUCACACUGUCCAGUGCUUUGAAUUGUAACUCUAUUUAUUUUUGGUAAGGCUUGGCACUCUAUAUUCCUCAACACAGAAUAUUUUAUUAGUUAAAACUUUUGAUAUUUUGACUAAUUCCUUUGUGCCUAUUUGUUGUUUGUUAUCUCAUUUUGAAACACACUGCAUAUUUUUGAACACUAUACUUUUCAUAAGUCAGAAAUUCUGUCCCUGAACUGUACGUUCAGGUGAAAAUUUCUUGUCCUUGUGAUUCAAAGUCUUCAUCUUACUUUUAAUUUAUCCAUUACUUUGUCAUUACUCAUUUGUCAUUACUUUUGUAAUAGAGUCAGAUUUUCAAAAAUAGAUUGUAUGUAGGGGGGGCGAAAAACGCAGAGCUACACAGAGCCUCUAGGAUCUGCCUAGAGAAUGCUCCUCUGCUUGAUACGUGCUAGGCAUUUGUUUACCUGACAGUCCUUUAACUUCUGCAACUGCUAAUUGUACUUACCCGUACAUGCAGUUACCCAGUUUAUGUUGCAGUUAUGCUAAUUAAAGCACUUGGCUCCCCAUACAGUAUGAACAUGUAUGCAAACCUACAAAGUUUUAAGGAAUAGUCCUACACUGCAUCUUUUUCAGGGAUAAUAUAGGAAAACAAAUUACCUACUAUCACUAUUAGUAUUACCAACAUUCAGCUGAGAGCAAGGUAGGUGUAGAAGCUUUGGAAGUGUAGGCAGAAGGUAUCACAUAUGAUAGAACUGUUAUGGAAAAUCUGUGCUCCAAACACAAUGAAACAUAUAUUGCAGAACUAUAAAGGGGAGGUAUCACUAUGAAACCAAACAAGAAAAAUGGGACAAACUGUAUCAGGUUCUCAGAUGUGAUCAUAGGCAUUGCAAUAGCUUUUAUUUUUACUAAUGUUCUAUUAUUAUAAUCCUCAUUAACUUUUUCUUUUUUUUUAUAACUUUCAUCCUAGUGAUAGACUCGCUACC